AGCGAACGCUGGCGGCAGGCCUAACACAUGCAAGUCGAACGAACCUUUCGGGGUUAGUGGCGGACGGGUGAGUAACACGUGGGAACGUGCCUUUAGGUUCGGAAUAACUCAGGGAAACUUGUGCUAAUACCGAAUGUGCCCUUCGGGGGAAAGAUUUAUCGCCUUUAGAGCGGCCCGCGUCUGACUAGCUAGUUGGUUGAGGUAAUGGCUCACCAAGGCGACGAUCAGUAGCUGGUCUGAGAGGAUGAUCAGCCACAUUGGGACUGAGACACGGCCCAAACUCCUACGGGAGACAGCAGUGGGGAAUCUUGCGCAAUGGGCGAAAGCCUGACGCAGCCAUGCCGCGUGAAUGAUGAAGGUCUUAGGAUUGUAAAAUUCUUUCACCGGGGACGAUAAUGACGGUACCCGGAGAAGAAGCCCCGGCUAACUUCGUG
Molecule: ribosomal RNA, 434 nt
Filed under: uncultured bacterium
Lineage: Bacteria
Description: partial 16S ribosomal RNA
Rfam family: Bacterial small subunit ribosomal RNA
Source: RNAcentral